Paramormyrops kingsleyae is the source of this 596-nucleotide long non-coding RNA. RefSeq lists it as uncharacterized. The record is from RefSeq and is a predicted model, not a curated record. Lineage: Eukaryota; Metazoa; Chordata; Actinopteri; Osteoglossiformes; Mormyridae.
AUGUCAGUCAUUGGCUCUCUUUAAUCAUGACUCUCCGGAGUGGGCCAAACCCAUGUGAAGGUAUAUUUAUGCUCUCAGAGAGACGGCCUGCAUGGGCUGGUGGACUGGGAGGCCAUCAAUGAAAGGAAACCCUGGCCUUCUUGAGCGGUCGUGCAGCUGGCUGCAGUGUCUGCCGAGGCACGGGGAUAUUUAUACAACUGCUGAGAUGUGACUUUGGGGCGGCCUGCAGCUGUCACCCCCACGCCGCCUGGCCCGUUUUAAAAAUAGCCACGACCCCCGCCGCAUCACGACAGGACACUCUGGCAGCCCUGCGAAGAUCGAGUCCGGACACCACUACCUGUUCUGCUGCUCGUUGCUCUCAUACAGGCUCCCAGACUACGAGGUGAGUUUGGGCGUGUACUCUGAGACUGGGCGGUCUUUCCAGGCUGUUAUGCUGAGAUGGGACCACGGAAGAAUUCCGCUAAAAACAGCAGACCCUGGGGAAGGUGUUUAGGACCCAGGGCAGCCCAGCGCAACAUCGCUAUGGAAACACAGAGUGAGGUCACGCCCCUUCCCACCUGGUACUCGGACUGCAUGACCCCAGUGCCCGAGGGGGC